Molecule: non-coding RNA, 47 nt
Organism: Aedes albopictus (Asian tiger mosquito)
Lineage: Eukaryota; Metazoa; Arthropoda; Insecta; Diptera; Culicidae
Source: Rfam
CAAACGGUCUUUUUUAGGACCAUCGAAAAUGUUUUCUCAAGAGCUGU